This 18045-nucleotide long non-coding RNA is filed under the name Fragaria vesca (wild strawberry). Its description in RNAcentral is "long non-coding RNA (FVES_LNC000930)". Lineage: Eukaryota; Viridiplantae; Streptophyta; Magnoliopsida; Rosales; Rosaceae. The record is from RNAcentral.
CAUUGUAUUGCGAGUUCCUCCAGUAUGACCAGUGUUGUUUCCAAAAGCAAGCCUUGCAUUGAGUUGGGAAGCUUUGUGAAUAUUUGGUGGGGAAGUAAAGGUCCUUGGAGCCAGGGAGUGGAGUGCUCAAUUCCUUAAUAAGUUCUUGAACGCUCCUGAACAAGUAACCACAAUUAUUAUAAUUUAAUAUAUAUAUAUAUAUAUAUAUAUAACAAAUAAACAGAUACAUAAAAACUCUACAUACCUAUACAGCUCAGAGUUCGCAUAUACUUCGGCAAAAUCAAUGUUAUUAUGAGCCUCAACUGCAGCAGAACUGACGUCUAACAUCCAUGUAGCAGGGUUGAAGCCGUCUUUGAUCUUUGGAACUCCUGGAAUGGCCUGCAAGUAAAUUUUUUUUUUUUUAAAGUUAUGAUUUAUUUCUAACCACAUCAUAUAAUUUCAUUAGGAGCAAUUCAAUCAUUCUAAGAAUAUAUUCAAAUGAUUGGAAAUGCCACAGCAAUAUAACUACCGAGAACUAGAAUUGGACUGAACGCUGAAGGUAAAGCAUCGUAUAAAGUUACCUCAAAAUAUUCAACAAGCUUGUGAGACCGGUCACCAAGAGGUCCAGCAUAAAUCACUUGUCCUCCUCUUUUCAUUAAGAAAAGCUGCAAACGAAUAGAAAAUCAAGGUGAUGUAUGAACCAUGAGAUAGUCAAGUGUUAGAGAUUGACGUAUUAAUUUGAAAGGUUAAUAAUACCUCAUCAAAAGCUUCAAAAAUGUCAAUGCUAGGUUGGUGAAUAGUGCAGACUACGGUACGUCCUGUAUCGACUGUGUUUCUUACAGUACGCAUAACAAUUGCAGCUGCUCUGGCAUCAAGCCCUGAUGUUGGCUCAUCCAUAAAGAUAAUGGAAGGAUUAGCAACCAAUUCUACAGCAAUGGUUAGCCUCUUUCUUUGUUCAGUUGAAAGUCCGUCCACUCCUGGUAGUCCAACUAAAGCAUUCCUCAAGGGGUUAAGCUCCACCAAGUCCAUAACUUCAUCAACAAACAUCUAUAAUAGCCAAGACAAUAGGAGUCAACUAUGUAGCAAUAUCCACCAAGUCCAUAACUUAUUUUAUGGUUUACUGAAUGACAUACCUUUCUUUUGGUUUUGUCGACAUCCUUAGUAAGACGUAGCCAGGCAGAGUAUAGCAGAGAUUCAUAAACAGUAACAUAUGGAGAAUGAAUGUCGUUCUGUUCACAAUAACCGCUAACCCGAGCAAAUGUAGUUUGGUUUUUUGGGUAUCCAGAGAUGCUAAUAUUUCCUUCGAUAUAACCACCAGUUUUUCUUCCAGCUAAGACAUCCAUCAAAGUAGUUUUUCCAGCACCACUAACACCGACUAAAGCAGUGAGAACCCCUGGCCUGAAUGCCCCAUUGACAUCUCUUAGUAGUUGCAGUCGGUCCUCUUCAACACCUUGGGUCUUCAUCUCCUGAUAAUGAAGCAUGAUUGUUACUACUAAUAUAUGGAAGAAUGAGUAUUCUUAGUUACUGUUAAUGACUAUGAAUUCUUAAGAUGCAUAUACUAAACUCAGUUUGAAGCCUUUUAUUAUUUCAUAUAAUACUGUUUCUCUUUUGAUACACAUUAUCACACUGAUUUCCGGAAAUUUUAAAGCUUUGGUCAAAAAGAUUAAAGGUAUGACUUACCGCAGGCAUAUCCACAUAGUAGUUAACAUGGCUGAAAGCGAGAGAAAGUGGCUGGAAGGGUAACACCAUUCCUCUCUUGGCUUGUACGUUUGAACUUCCUUCAGCAUUUCUCACUUGCAUAUCAAUUCCUAUACGAAAUUUGCAAGUAGCCACAGUUACAUAUCUGGUGUAAUUCAUAAUUUAGAAAUACAAAAUGAAUGCUUUCCAAUAAAAGGAUCCAAGCUAGUUAAGUGAUACACAAGAUAUAUAGUAUUUCAACCUUCUGUCAAUCGUGGCCUCCUCUUGUUUUCAGAGUCAUCCUCCCCAAGUAGAGUUUUGUUGUCGCCAAGAGCUAAAAUGAGUUGUACAUAAAAAAAAAUAGUCAACACUUGUAUCCAUUAUCAUAAAAAUAGAUAAAUGAUGAAUGAAAGUUAUUAAACUUACGGUUCAAGUAGGUCAAUGCUGCAAUGAACAUCAGAUUGAAGAGAAGAGAAAACCCGACGAGCGCUCCAAUACAAAUCCAAUACCAAGAUUCUGUAGUGUACAGGCCUCUUUGCCUGAGAAGGGCUUUCCCCACAGUGGGCUGAGUGGAGUUGAUUGGUGGCUGUUCCAAGGAUAAAAUAAAAAGUUUUGUUAAACUUAAGAGCUUGAGCCUAUGAUCAUGGGAGAUUAAACUUUAAAUUGUUAUUAUUGAUGUAUAGGAGAAAAUCAACAGAGAUUUAAGAAAACUUACGCCGCCCCAUCUAUCAUCAAGAAAUUCAUUAAUAGCAAUUGCAUUCUGUCCAUACAUCAUAGGUGAGAUAUAGUAGCCCCAUAUCAUCCAUGACUGGAUGUCAUCUGCAGAUCAAUAAGAGAAAGGUUUAAACAUUUUGAAAAAUUAUAUGUCUAAUUUAUACAAGCAUUGACUAGAAAAGGAGGCUGACCUUUAGCAACAAUAUAACCUCCAAGCACAAAUACAAGUAGCAGGACAAAUGAACCUAUUGUGUUAGCAACCACAGGUGUUCUUCCAAGAGCUGCAAUAAAACGGAAGAGGGAGAGUGCCAUCUGACUUAUCCAAAUAUAAGCCAAUAACUGUUUGAAGAACCUGAACAUAUAGGACAGAGAAAAAGCAUUGGUAAUUUUUAACAACACAUCUAGGAAUGUAUAAAGCAUCUGCAAAUGAUAAAGCAACAGAUUAACACUUACCUACUGGCAUCAGGUGCAAAUCCUAUGGAAUAAUAGGUAAAGCCGAUCCAUAUUGCAGAUUCCACAACUGAAAUAGGAAUUCUGGUCACCCAAAUGGGCAACGCAAAAGCCCACGCUGGAUAGAACAAGGCAUCCCUCUGUUUAAAGAACACUGGAAGCCGGAAAACUGUCAUUGCAAGCUCUGUCAUUCCAUUAAACAUGAUGUUAAUGAGACUGAAAAAUAGUGCCCCCCAAUACUUUGAUGAAUCAGCUUGUGUCCCUGAUUUCAUUUCUGUUCUAAGGAAUACAGUCAAAGUAAUUGUAGCCAUGAUGGCAAUCUGUGCAGUUUUGAAUAUGUAAACAAAAGAGUUCCGCUUCAUUAGGAGCAAUUCCCUUGCAAAGCAUGCCUUGAAGAGCUCCAUACUAGAUAUUCCAUACUUUUCCUUAACCAAAGCAGCAGGAUGGGCUUGUCUUUUAUCAUAAGAGACUCUUAGUUCUUCCCCAAGCCGUUGGCCAACAUGAAAGGAGCUGAAUGCACGAACAAAAUCAGAGACUGUGACUGAUCUGUAAGGUUGGUUCUUGAACCAGUAUUGUUCUUGGUCCUUCUUUGAGGUAACUUCUUGCAAGAAGUCUGCAACACCUUUUCUGUCAGGGCAUUUGAAUCCCAUAUAUUCAAAGAACUCGAGGACAUUCUCACGUGGGCCUUGAUAAACAAUCUGACCGUCCGAGAGAAGGAUAACAUCAUCAAAAAGAUCGUAUGUCUCGGGUGCAGGCUGCAAUAGAGAGAUGACCAUUGACACAUCCAUAAUGUGAACCAUCUGUCUCAUGUAUCUGACAAUCUGAAAGGUUGUGGAACUAUCCAACCCUGUUGAUAUUUCAUCCAUGAAAUAUGCUUUUGCUGGUCCAACUAACAUCUCUCCUGUAUUCAGUGAAACCAACUAAAGUUAUUAUUGGAAAUAGGUUCGCACACUAGUUUUCAUUUUUCAAUUUUUAAGCAAGGAAAGUUCGUCAGUAUUCGCUCAAAUAUUCAAAGAAAGAUGAGAAAACAUAAUCAUCGAGGAACAAUGGUUACAUACCAGUCGUGACACGCUUCUUUUGUCCACCAGAUAUUCCCCUUCUCAUUUCAUCACCCACCAGAAUAUCAGCACAGAUAUCCAAUCCAAGAAUCUGUUAAAAGAAUAUCAGAGACAAUCAGGUUAGCUUGUAGUUUGUACAAUAUGGCAAAAAAAAAAAAAAAAUGAAAAACUCCUAUGAUUGAAGAAACAGACCUUGAGAACAUAAUCUGUGACCAAACUUGUUUCCUGUCCUGCCAGAGAUGUGGCUUUCAUGUAUGCAUCAAUCCCAGGAUCUGGUUUAAUACCUGCAUCUUUCUCCCGUCUAGACAACUCUGCUAGUUUAUCAUACCUUGUUCCAACUCCUAGGCAACGUCCAGAGAAAUCAAGUGUUUCACGAACUGUCAUCUCACCAUAAUGAAGAUCAUGCUGGCUAAUAUAAGCAGAGGUUUUCUGAGGUAUAAAUUCAUUAAAUUCAUGGCCGCAGUAAGUCACUUUCCCAUCAACCUGUUUAGAAGCACAAGUUGUCAAUAUGGAUGCAAAACAAAACAAUUAAGUAGGAACAUCAAGUAUAUAUAGUUUAUUUGAAAUGAUAAAAGUUAGACAUAGAAUAUCGAAUUACCUUAAGAUCCCUAUCUAGUUUGCCAGAAAGUGCUUUUAGCAAUGUUGUUUUUCCUGAUCCCGGAGGUCCAAGAAGAAGUGUCAACCUGAAAACAAGUAUAAGAGCUUCUUCAGCCAAUUUCAUCCAAGAUCUAGAUUAUUUAUGUUUGCCAAACUGAUAUCAUACCUUGCUGGUUUGACAAUACCACUAACAUCUUCUAGUAUCUUCACAAUUCUUUUCUUUGAUGGUGAAAGUCCAACAAGUCCCAGUAUUCCCUAAUAUCAUCAACAGUAAUUUUCAAAAUCCAUAGAUUACAGUAGGCACACAAGAUAAAGAAGUAAACUCCACAAUUAGGAAAUGUCUUUGCAAAAUACCUCUAUUGCGUUCAAGGUGGAAUUCCAUAGAGUCGGAAGUGCUCUGGUGCCAACAAAUGCAUCUCCCUCUAUUUUUAGAUUUUGGAAUCGAACCUCAACUCUAGGAAUAUCGAUACCAACCCUGUUUCCCAAAGUCACAGAUCAAAAUUUAGGAAAACAUAAAACUCAAAAACAUGCAAAGCAAUAUAAAGCCAAGCAAAACAUAUAAAUCAUUGAACACUAUUAAUUUCCGAAUCGAAUUACCUGUCAUUUCUAGCUCUGAGCUUCUUCAAGAACUUCUCAUUGUCCUCCUCAAUAACCUUAAGUAUGCUCUCCAUCAACCGCUUCUUCUCUGAAUCCCCAAGAUUCACAACGUCGACUUCUUCAGCCACAACCCUUCCAUUGCUCAUAACAUUCCUCAACAUCCCUUUCCUCAUCCUAUCGUAAGUCGGCAACCUCUCUAUGGCUGCCCACUUGAGCUCCUCCUCCUCGUCCAUCUGCCGGACGCUCCGCUGGAACACGUCCGGCGCGUUCCAUAAUUCCCGGACACUCGUCGACCGCCAGCUCCUCCGGCUACUCGACUGCCUCGACAGGUCAUCUCCCGCCAACGCCGCCGCCGCCAUUUUUUGGCGGGAACGAAAUCAACUCACGGAAGUUGGUGCACCCAAAACGAGGGAAGUGAUCAAGCCUCAAACUGUGUCCGGAAGUUGGGGCGUGAUCUUUGUUCUUGUGAAAGUUUUUCAGACUUUGUAUGAAGUAUGAGACGAGACGUGUUGUUAUGAUGAGAGUGUUUGGAUGUGGUUUAUGCUGGUGGUUUAUAUAGAGAAACAGAGGAUGGGGAAGAAUGGAAGCAGGGGCGGACCCCACUAGAUUUUGAAAAGUUUGAUGUUUUGUUCCUUAUUUUAGUAUAUCUUAGGAAUUGGAAUAGGUUUAUAUAAAGAUAUCUUAGGAAUUGGAAUAGGAUCCACAUGGAUCAGAUAAUUGNNNNNNNNNNNNNNNNNNNNGGGGGGGGGGGGGCGUGCGGGAGUGCAUCUCUAUCAGAAUGGUUGCGGAAAGAAACAAGAAAGUUUUGCCUGUGUACAUUCCAGCAAGUCAUGAGAAUAGUAUUGAAAUGAGACUAGUCAGUAAUCCAGAAGUGACUAAUCUGAAAGAAGAAUAGGAAGAAGGGGGAUGUCAAAAAGGAAGAUGGCAUUUCUCUCCGAAUGGUUUUUUAAAUUGAAACAAAGAGGAAUAUCUUGUUCUGUGUUACAGAAAAGUCUUGGGUCAGAACUCAAGUGAGACUUGGCCUUGGCGGAAUCUUCUCUGUCCGUCCGUCCGUCCCCCCUCCCUUCCUUUGAGAAGAUGUAAAAGUAUAACUCACCGUAGGAGGAGAUAAAAUAAGGGUUUUGUAGUUUCUCUUUUUGGAAAAUAAAAUUUCACAUUGAUAUAUUGACUCUUUGAACAGAAAAAAUAAGUUGUUACAUGUCCUUUCCUUGCCGAUUACGGGGGAGAGAAAAAGUUUGGGAGGGUUCCAAACCCAUUCAAAAAAAAAAAAAAAAGUUGGUGGUAAAAGUCAUUCAAAUCGUUAUAUAAUUUUCAAACAAGCUUCUUCAAUAUUCUAGAAAGUGCGCUCAAGAGUUUGUAGGAGAUGUUGAAAAGUUUUGAGAAAUGCUCAUAUGCUAUUAUUGAUGUUAGCUGUAAGACUAAACACAAGCUAUAUGUGUCAUGUGUGACCUCAUUGCAGUUUGAAAAGCAUGAAAGGAAAUAUGAUAAAGAUUAGAAGGGGAAUAGUGAUGGAAAGAGAAGUACACGUGUUAUUGUUAUUGUCAGUGACGGAGCCAGAAUAUAAUUGAAACCCAAAGUAUAUAUAUUAAAAUACUUGGUCUCGGUUAAAACUAUAGCUUAGUUUUACGGUCUUUUUGUAAUUUCUUUUUCAUUAAAAUUUAUUAACCUUUUUGGUCUCGGAUAUAUUUGAAUUUAUAUCCUUAACGUUGUUAAUUAAACUAACUAAUAUCAACCAGAUCACGGCUCACCAACAACUAUAACUUGGUCUCGGUUAAAACUAUAGCUUAGUUUUACGGUCUUCUUGCAAUUUCUUUUUCAUUAAAAUUUAUUAACCUUCUUGGUCUCGGAUAUAUUUGAAUUUAUAUCCUUAACGUUGUUAAUUAAACUAACUAAUAUUAACCAGAUCACAGCUCACCAACAACUAUAACUUUUUUGGUUAUUAUUAUUAUAAACAAUGAACUUCAAUUUUGAGCACAUGCAACCAAUACCUAAACUCUUCACUUCUUCCUAGGGGUGGGCAUAAAAAACCUAAAUCCUGGUCCCAUCCCGGUCCAGUCCCGAAAUUUGACGGGAUGGGACAAGAUCUAUGCCUAAAAACACUAGGCCCGUCCCGUGGAGAAACAACGGGAGGGGACAGGACGGGACCUGGGACUGAAAAGUUGAGGCCCGUCAGGCCCGUCCUGUCCCGUGUAAAAUAUAGAGUAAUCUCAGCCAUUGAUUUUUUAGAUGUUUUGAUCUCAACCUUUCAUUUUUUAACCCUAAUACCAACUCUCUUUCACUCUCUUCAGUCUCUCGCAGUCGCGCGAACCCAACUCUCUUUUAAGUUUCAAUCUGCUUCCUCCUCACUCUCUCAGUCUCUCUUUCGAACUCCUCCACCGCCCGCUUCCUCCUCCUCCGCUUCCUCCUCGGUGCCCGCUUCCUUCCCCUCCGCAUCUCACUGCCCGAUUCCUCCUCCUUCGCUUCCUUCUCGGCGCCCGCUUCCUCCGCUUCCGCAUCUCACCGCCCGAUUCCUUCUCCUCCGCUUCCUCCUCGCGAACUACAACCGGCGAUGAGGCAACCCCAAUCUUCCAAACGAAGCAGCAGCAACAAGCAUCGUGCCUCCUCCUCCUCCUCUGCCACUUCCUCUGUCAGGCAAGAUUAUUUUCACUCUCACUGUCUCUCUCUCUCUCUCUCUCAUGCUUUUAAGCUUCACAGUGUACAAACUCAUGGCUAAAUCUGAAUAUAUUAGCUGAUAAAGAUCACUCACCUGUGAUUAGAUUAAGACUUUAGAAGUAUUAUUAGUAGUCGAGAUUAUUAGUAGUCGAGGACUUUAAGGUUUCUAUCUGUUUGCUACUCUGGGUCAAGUUAUUUGUUUUCUGUACAAACUCAAAGAAAAUUUUAGAUAAAAAGUCUUUGCUUGCAGUAUUGUUGGUUAGGGAAGACGUGGUAUGUAAUGGCUGGAUGAAUGUUAUAGAUUGAAGAAUGUAUAGAAGGUAUUAUGUUAGGGUAUUUUUUGAUUAGGAUGGUUGCGAUCAAAUUUAGGCUUUGAGAGAUGUAGUGGAAGUGAGAUUUGGAUACUUGAUAUUGAGUGUUAUGGCAAUCGUUGCUCUAGUUUAAUUCUAGUUAUGAAUUAUGGAUUCAUAUGAUGCAAUCUUUAUAUUAUGAGUAAAUGACACUUUAGUACUAAUUUUAAAGGUUUAUUGCCCAUUCCAAUGAAAAUCUCUUUACCAACCCUAUUCCAAUGAAUUCUAAUAAAAGGACGUCAAUACCCUCACCCUAAUUUAACUCUUUUUCUCCUUUUUUUCCCCGUCUCAUUAUCUCUCUCUCUCUCNNNNNNNNNNNNNNNNNNNNNNNUACCCCCCAAUAAAAGUUUACUAGGGGUAGUAAACUUCAUUUUUUUCGCAUCUAAGUUGAUUUUUCUCCUUUUCAAUGUGAAUUAUGGCAUUGGAGCUACUGUUUUGUAAGUUUACUACCCCCAGUAAAAGUUUACUACCCCUAGUAAACUUUAGUUUUUCGAAUCUAAAUUGUUCUUCCUCUGUUUUAGUGUGUAUUAUGGUCUUGAAAAUACUGAUUUGCAAGUUUACUACCCCUAUUAAAAGUUUACUAGGGGUAGUAAAUUUUAUUUUUCCGCAUCUAAGUUGAUUUUUCUCCUUUUCAAUGUGAAUUAUGGUAUUGGAGCUACUGUUUUGCAAGUUUACUAACCCCAGUAAAAGUUUACUAGGGGUAGUAAACUUCAUUUUUUCACAUCUAGGUUGAUUUUUCUCCUUUUCAAUAUGAAUUAUGGCAUUGGAGCUACUGUUUUGUAAGUUUACUACUCCCAGUAAAAGUUUACUAGGGGUAGUAAACUUUAGUUUUUCGAAUCUAAAUUGUUCUUCCUCUGUUUUAGUGUGUAUUAUGGUCUUGAAAAUACUAUUUUGCAAGUUUACUACCCCCAGUAAAAGUUUACUAAGGGUAGUAAAUUUUAUUUUUUCACAUCUAAGUUGAUUUUUCUCCGUUUUAAUGUGUACUUAUAGCCUUGGAGAUAUUAUUUUGCAAGAUUACUACCCCCAGUAAGAUGUUUAUUAGGGGUGGUAAACUUUAUUUUUUUGCAUAUAUGUUGAUUUUUUCUCUCUUUUAAGGUAUAUAAUGGUCAUAGGAAAACUGUAUUGCAAGUUUACUACCCCCAGCAAAAGUUUACUAAGGGUAGUAAACUUUAUUUUUCUGCAUUUAAGUUGAGAUUUCACGGUUUUAAGGUGUAUAAUAGUCAUGGAGAAACUCCAGUGAGAUUUCCCGGGAAAAAUUCCGGCCACCGGAUGCCGGCAAUUUUCCGGCCGUCGGAAAAUUCCGGUCACCGGUGACCGGAAUCCGGCUGCCGGAGUUCGAAGUCCGGCGACCGGAAUCCGGCUGCCGGUGACCGGCGCCGGUGUCCGGUGUGCUUCCGGGAAAGUCUUCCCUUCUUCUUUUUCAUUUUUUCUCUUUAAAUAAAGGUUAAGGGUAAAAAAGUCUUUAAAAAUAUAAUUUUAUUAUAUUUUAAUAAAGAUUUGUGUAUUUGGGCUUAAAAUAAGUACCUUGUAUUCAAAUGGGCUAAUAAAAAAGAUUAUCAUUGAAAUAGGGUUUAACUUUUUCUAUUUUAUGCAAAUGGUCUUUUUCCCUUAUAUAAUAAUCAGGUAAUAUUGGAGCGGGAUGGCGGGAUUAGGCCCGUCUCGUCCCGGUCCUGUUUGGGACUGGACUUGCGUGGGAUCAAGUCUUAAAAACGUAAGGCCCGUCCCGUGUGCAAUGUCCGGGAUGGGCCGUGGGAUGAUCCUAAUCCCAUCCCGUCCCGUCCCGUCCCAUGCCCAGCCCUACUUCUUCCUUAAGUCUACCACAACAGAUACUAACAAACCAUAGAAUUUCACUUUUCGUUGGUGAGCGGUGACCUGAUUGGUUAGGUAAUCAAAUUGACAACGUUGAGGUCAUGGAUUCAAACUUCACUGAUAUAUGUAGUGGUGGGACGGAUUAAUAGGUUUUAAUAAAAAAUGCAAUUUUAAAAAAUUAGAAUUCCUCUUCUCGAAGACACUAAUCUCAUAAGUGUAUGUCCUUAAUUAUCGAUAUGCUCAAGGGAGGAAUUUGAAACUCAGGUUAAUGAAAUGCUCGCUCAAGGCUUCAUUCAAGCUAGCACAUGCAAGUCUGAUUUCCUCUCCGUUACGUACUUUUGGUUAGGAAGAAGGACGUUGCAUGGUGCUUCUGUGUCGAUCGAUUAUUCAUUAUUGGCAGUUAAACAAUGCCACUGUGAAGAACAUAUUCCCUAUCCAAAUUUUCGAUGAAAGCUUGAAGAGUUUUCAUGAUGAUCAAUAUUCUAGCUUCAAUUAAGUUGGAUUUGAGAUAGGGCAACCACCAGAUCAGUAUGCACAAUAAAGGUAACACAUUUUGCUGUACACAUUUUCAUAUAAUUGGGCUAAAUUACCACACUGACAACAUUUUUUCAUACAAUACUUAUAAAAAUGUUGUAGGUGAAGUAGUUACCUGUGGUAGAACUAAAAUUACCCAAAAAUUGACUCUAUACCACAGUGACAACAAACUUGUUAUCCCAUUAGUAAAUACGGGUAUCACAUGCAUACAUAUAGGUACUUAAGAAUUUCUCAAAAACUAAAAGCUAUUUAAAGUUGGUCAUUCUAUUACUGAGUGAAGACUAACAAACCGUGAAGAGCACUACGGUGUUGUACUACACAAAAACACUUAUUGACUUUGUGAAAAUUCUACAAUGUGUUAAUGUAUGACAUGCAUAUAAUUAUCCUAAAGUUGUAAAAUGAGUCCUCAAAGUAGUAAUAUGAGUCCUUAAAAUGGUAUAUAAGUCUUUAAAGUGGUAAGUGGUAACAAAAAUUUAGUUACAACAUUAUUAGUCCUGAAAUGAUAAAAUAAAUCUUUAAAAUUGUAAAAAGUUAAUGCAUGAGUUACAUUAACACACCGUAGCCUUACCGGAGAUAGGUGAGAGUUGUAAUUAUAGACAGUUCAGGGAUAUAUAAAGUUAUUCUAAUCUUCAAAGCGCAAAGCAAACUAAUCAAAAUUCUAGAAAGUGGGAAUGGUCUGUGUCGACCGUGGAGAUGUUGAAAAGUUUUGAGGAAAAACUCGUGCUACAAUUGAUGUUUUCAAGUGGAAGAAUAUACACACUAUAUAUAUUUGUGACAUAAAAGACGAGAAGAUGUGAUAUAAAAUAUGAGAAUUGGGAUUGAGAGAGAAAUGGUGCUGUGAGGCAGAAGUGAUCGAAAGGACUGGUAUUCUGCACUGCUAUAUAUGGUUAUGAGGUUAUCCAGUGUUUAGAAAGGUAACAAUCAGUGCUGCUUCCCUUGAUUGAUAGAAAUACCAACUGCAGAGUUGAGUAUUGUUUUGCUGCAUAUACUGUUUAAGUGGUUUUGAAGCAAUGUAAAACCAUUGCCCUCCUAUAUGUUAAUUAGCAGUUUCAAAUAGUUACUGUGCAUAAUUAAUUCAUGUGAAGACAUAUCGUUUGUGAAGCUUUUAUAUAUUGUAGUAUAUUUCAAGGAAAAAAAAAUAUUACACAGAUGAAGGGAAACGCAUGUCUGCUGUGUGCAAGCCUAUCAAAAAUUACAUACAAUAUUAAUUACAAAACUAGAAACACAAAAUGGGAGACAGUGUUUUUGUGUUGCCCUCAUUAAUCAAUUACUGUAAAUGUUUCAAAUGAUGAACAGUUGGAUAAUUGUCAAACACUAAUAAACAUAUCGUUGUUUUACCAUUGUUUUGGAAUCAGACUAUUCGCAGCUGGUGAAGACUGAAGACUACCAAGGCUGAGGAGGAUAAGGCAGCCUUUGGCAGGGUUGUGGAUGAUGACAUGAGAAAUUCUUCCGUGCGACCAGCCAACAGUCGUGUGACAUGUUGUUUUUUUUUUUUUUUUUUUUUCACAGCUGCAGAUUCUCCAGCGAAGCAAUGGAGAGUCCAGAAUUUUCACCCUCGCUGGCCAAAACCAUCGCCAACCACGACGAUCUCCUCUCAUAGAUCCUCCUCUGUUGCCUCCCUCAUUUCCAGCCCCAAAUUCCGCGACCGCCACACCCUCUGAAACCCUACCCCUCCUCUCUCCGCCUUCUUCUUCCUCUCCACCUCUCCGGAUCCCUCUCCUCUCCCCUCCAUUCGCUCCUGGAGCUCCGACGAGCCAAGAUUCUCCAAAGAAAGGAAGAAGAAGCUUCGCCGGAGAAUUCGCAACCGCUGUUGUAAAAAAAAAAAAAAAAAAAAAAAAAAAACACGUGUCGCACGACCGUCAGCUGAUUACACGGACAGGUGGCACGACCGUCACACGGAAGUAUUUCUCUGAUGACAUAUAUUGCUUUCCUACAAGGGCCUUUACCAGGUUGUUUCUUUUUUCAUGUUUUCAGAAAGUCGAAAAUUUAAUCAUAUGCUUGUUAUAUAUAUGUAUAACAAAUUCGAUGAUCGUUUGAGUUUUCGUAAUCGUUAUUUACACAAACAGUUCUGGUUAGAUAAAUUUAUGGUCCGUUCAUUAAUUUAAUCUAAUUCAGUAUCCAAACCAUCAUCAAUCUUGACAUUAAUUUGAUCUAAUUCAGUAUCUAAACCAUCAUCAAUCUUGAUGAAAUUUUGUAUGAAUGAUUUAUACAUUAGUAUCAAUAAUCUGAACGGUGAAGAUGUGGAAAUUUGACGAAAAAGUGAGUCAAAUAAGGAAUUUCACACUUUAAUUGCAGAGCGAAGCUUCGCUCUGGAUAGGAUAGGAACUAUGUUUGAGUUUUCGUAAUCGUUAUUUACACAAACAGUUUUGAUUAGACAAAUUUAUGGUCCGUUCAUUAAUUUGACCUAAUUCAGUACCCAAACCAUCAUCAAUCUUGAUGAAAUUUUGUAGGAAUAAUCUAUAUAUUAGUAUCAAUAAUCUGAACAGUGGAGAUGUGGAAAUAACUUCGCUCUGCAAUUAAAGUGUGAAGUUCCUUAUUUGACUCACUUUUUCCUCAUAUUUCCACAUCUCCACCAUUCAAAUUAUUGAUACUAAUGUAUAGAUCAUUCUUAUAAAAUUUCAUCAAGAUUGAUGAUCGUUUGGGUUUUCAUAAUCGUUAUUGAUAUAAUCGUUAUAUAUAUGCUUGCUCUUGAUUAUAUAUGCUUUUGAUUUACGGUUGAGUAGCUCUAUUCCCUCAUCUUCUUAAUUAGAAACUAUAACUUUCAAUCGAUAAAUUGUAGCCAUUGUGUACAAUGAUAGGAGUACAAAAUGCUACGUUUAUGUAACAUCUUGAAUUUUUGAAAUUUCUCAAAAAUAUGUUUUUCUUCUUAGAAAUAGAAAGUAUAGAUCGCCACGAGUUUGCCGUAUUUUUCGGACUCGCGAGCUAUUUUUAACGAUUUUUCAAAAUUUUGUUGAAUUUGUUUUAUGGUGACGUGUCACCUUGAUAUUGGUCCAUAAGAUUUCUUAAUCACCAAGAAUAGCAGCUAACCCACGUGCUGGAAGGGGCAGCUUGCUUUUAUUGGCUGACAAGUGUUGAUUUGGUCCAAUGAAGUCUUGACAUGUAGCAAUUUGGUGUUGCAAAAUUAGAGAAAUUCUUAGGUGCAACAGCCACACCUGACACAUGCGCACCCAACCAUCCGGCGACACAUGCUUUUUUUUUUUCUACACCUGCCUUCUUCUUCUUCUUCUUCUUCUUCCUCCUUUCUCCGGCGAAACAGAUCCCUUCCGGCGAAGAUUUUUCACAACUCUUCUUCUUCUUCUCCUUCCUUCCUUCCUCUCUCUUCUUCUUCUUCUUCUUCUUUCCUCUGCGUGAUUUGCACAGGUUGGUGGAGGCGCGGCUCGAUGGCGGCAGGUUGUUAGGCUUAUGGUGGAGGCGGCAGGGGGUGGGUUUAGGCGGCGGCUGGGCAGAGGGAGCUGCUAUGCUUUGAUCGGAGGGGAUCGGUUUCGCCGGAGAAUAGAGAGGAAGGAAGAAGAAGAGCUGCCCGGAAAGAAAAAAAAAAAAAAAAAAAAGAACACGUGUCGCUAUGCGACUGGUGGGUCGCACAUGACACGUGGUGCGGCUGUCUCACGUAAGAUUUUCUCUGCAAAAUUAAGAGAAGUCAUGCCUUCUGCCAAGUGUGGUUCUUUUAGUGGAUCAACACACCCAAACCGCCCUCUCUUUGUCGGCCUACCAACCCGAUAUAUAGAGCUGACCCGGUUCAGCUUCUUCUGUCAUUUUCACUCUCUCUCUCCCCAAACAUUUCUGUCUCUAGGGUUUUUACGACUAAACUUCGGGGGAUCAUAACUUUUGAUCUGUAACUCUAAUUCUGAAUCCGUAAAGUGUUACGGGUUCGUCUCGAUGACCUCUUCGUCUCCUAAAAGUUUGAGCUAGAUCUAACGGUGAUUCCUAGAUGGCUCGUUUUAGGAGGCCCGGUUUACGAUCGAUGUUCUUGGUGGGGAUUCGAAUUAUUGAGGUGAGUGGAUUUCUGUAAUAUGUUUAAAAUAUUCUUAUUUGCGAUAAAAAUGUUAGAAAAGCAUGUUUUUGAUCUUUUACGAAAUAUCUCUCUAUUUUCUAGUGAAGCAUGUCGAUUUGCGAAAUUUGCGGUGUUUAUAUAUAAUUAUGUGUUGGAUCCAUUGUUUGACUAGUCAUGGAACAUGUGAACUUCUUGAUUGGUUAUGCCGAAGUAAGGAUGUGACACACGGAGGUAUAGGACUUGAAGGUCAUUAGGUUCCCGUGGGGAUUACUAAAUUGAAGAAUAUCUAAUAAGAAAGGAUUAUGCGAUGUGAUGAAUUGUUUGAAGUGAUGUGUAUACGAUACACGUAUUUUGUAGCCUGUGUAAAAUGACAUGACUUUGCGGGCAUAUUACAUUAGUCUACUCACUGAGCGCGUGGUUAUGCUCACCCACCCAUCUCUAAUAUUUUUUGUAAAGAAGUACUUAGAUUUGACCGAGCCAGGAAAGGGUAGCCGACAAGCCUAGAAGAUAGUGUUUUUAUUUUAUUCGGCUUUGUAACACUCGUUCACGCCUCAGAAUCGGCGUCCGGCGCUUAAAAACCGCCGACGUCAGGACCGGGGUGUGAUAGUUUAUAAUGUAUUUCUGACCCUAUUUAGUUAUGUAAUUCCUUUAACAAUAUUCAUAUUAACUAAGUUUGUGUUUUUAGGUCAUAAAUAAAGUCGAGGAGCCCAAAAGAGACGAAAGAGGAUAAAUCUUGAAGGAAAAAGAAUCCAUGUCGUGCAAGGAAAGAAAUCAGAAAAAUCUGUCAGAAAUUGUUAGUCAACUUCGACAGAAUAUUGUGAUUAUCUCACAACGAUCCAGGAGAUGUGCCAUAUAUCAAUGGAAAGCUACAAGAGUCUACUUUCCAGAACCUUUUACGGAUCAUCAAUACCUAUUUUGGAGAAGAAGUUAUGAUUGUUUGAGUGGCCGAAGGUCAGUCUGCCCGAAUUUCUGAUUUGGACCAAAACUUCUAUUUCGAGGCCCAGACCAUAUUGGCAAGCCCGUAGACGAGUUUUAAGGUUUCAUAACCCUAACCACAACAAAAAAGAAGGGGGAGACAUGAAGAUUAGAGGAGGCAGCGAUCUCACAUCAUCAGAACCUCCAUAGUUGCGGACUCGCACAAGGAAGCCGCCAAGCCAUCAUUGAUCUCUCCAUCAUCCAUGGUUUACCUUUCCUUUGCCAUCUUUUAUUCUUCUUGUGUGAUUUUGCAGCCAUGUGUGGCUGAAUUCUCUUAGUUAAGGGCAAGGUUUGAAGCCCCAAGAAUGUUUUAGAUAUUGUUUUGAACCUUAGUUUCAAAUUAUUGAGUCUUUCAAAUUGUUUAUUUGGUUUUGGUUUAUGGAGAACUCUUGCUUGUUUAUGUUCAUGUAUGCGCAACAUAGAACAUUAUGAAUUUGUGAGUGGGGCUAGAAUUAGGUUGUUUAAUCUCCUAAACGGUUAAUACAGCUUAAUUUAAGAUAGUAAAACCUAUAGGACAAUAGGUGAAAGUGAAACCAAUAAAAAGGAUUGCAUGCUAGGUAGGCGUUUCACACUAGUUUUGCAUACUUGUUCAAUCAAACUUUCAUUGAUCUUAGUGCUUAGAAUAAUUUGUUGAUAGGAUAGCGUCUAUACCUUGAUUGGUUAUUCUAAAGGCUUAAUAACAGUGUGUUCAUCUUGCUUAAGUAAUUAAAGGAAAUAAUAAGGACUUACACAGUGCGUUCACGGUUUGUUCUUGAUUGAUACUGAUUUGCGACUUAAUGAUUGAAGUUUUGGUUGUUAACAUGUCUUGAAACAUACUUGGUGGUGGAUUUCCAAGUCUCUAACAUCUCAUCCAUCUGAUCUUUUCUGCUUUAUUUUGUUUCUUUGUUUUCUUUUGUUUAUAAUCACAAAACCCCAUAUCUCUAGUACUAUCAUCUUUUGUUUUCUCUAGUUUUAUAAUUAACGUAAAUUGUAAAAGUACCCUCAAUCCCCGACUUUUAUAACGAUACCAUUAUUUGCUAUAUACUACAAUUGACACAAAAAAGUUUUUAAUUGAAACGCCCGAUUUCAGUCGCUAUCAUACAAAUCAUGGAUGAGUUAUGUUCUCAUGGUAGAUUAGAAAAUAGAAGAACAAUGCCAUUGUUGAGGCUUCUUUUAUUGAAUAUUGAUGAAAUAAUAGGACCAAAAAUGUUAACUGGGAAAGAAGUUGCCCAAGCCAAUCAAAAUUACUACAUAUAUUAUGAUACAAAAAAGACGAAAAGAAUCAGAGUUGUUUUCAGUCUGACUUGCUGCUAUAACAUCCCUGAAAAGGCUGAGUAUAUCCACAAUGAGUGUGCUUGAUCAUCUUCUCUGGAAGUUAAGGUACUUGAUACCAUAAGCAAAGACAAAGAAGAAGAGGAGGACCCAGCCAACAUGAGCAACAACAACUGGUAUGAGGAAGUCGUGGUCAUAACCCCAAGUCGCCUUAAGGAAUUCAUCCACUUUUACAUGUCCUGCAGCAGUUUGGAUAAUCUUAUCGUUCCGAUCACCGAAUUGAGAUGCAAUGACACCGUAGAUUGUCCAAGCAACUGGAGAACCCCAGUAGUACCACCUCCACCAUAUUGGGAUGAGCUGCAAAUUGGAGAACGAAUAUUGUAAGACUCAUCUUAAGUUCAUAUUAUAGUUGGCAAAUUUUCUCAAGCAUUUUUAUAUUUGUAACAUUCCUAGCUAUGAGUAAGGGCAAUGAAAAUAGUAACUACUUUCAUUUGUCCAUGAAGAAAAAAAAAAAAUUAUAACAUACCGGUCUAGCAAUAAGGAAUCCAGAGAACAAAUUCCAGAAACUCAUGAAGAAGGACAUGACAAUUGCCGCGAUUUGAUGGCCAGGAGUUAGGGCAACCACCAUCAUUCCAUACAUAGAGAAGUAUGUAAAACACAUGAAUAUGAAGUAGUAGAAGUACAAGAACUUCUCAAUUUUGAAUUCGUAGCCGAUCAUAGUGAACAGAAGAAGGGAAUAAAUGAAGGUUUGUAUGGCAACAUAAACCGUCUCAAUGGCCACCUACGUCAAAAAAUGUCCAUAAAAAAUUAAUAAAUAUAAAACAAAGCAGUAUAUAUAAUUUGGUGCAAGGCAAAAACAAAUACAAAAGUGAGUCUAGGUUCGAAUGUCUUUACCUGAGCAAAUGCAUAAGGCAACUCGGAAUACAUUCCUGCUGCUCUUUCUCGGUAGAAAACUGUUCUCUCGAUAGAAACUACAGAUUGCACAGAAGAAGCGUUGCCCGCUCCAAGGAAGAGAACAGCAGAAUAGGUUGCUCCCAACAGGUUAACAAUAUCUUGUUGUUUAUCUCUGUUGAAAAAUCAUAGAAGUGAGAACUCUAGGAUAGAACAUUUAUAGAAACAUGGAUCUUUUAGUUUAAAGUUCUUAAACUUACAGCACGUCUCCUUUGUUCCAGAAGAUGACACCAAAAAGUGAGCCGAUGACUAUUGUUUGAAAAACCUGAUGGCAUUGUAGUGCGAGUUCCUCCAGUAUGACCAGUGUUGUUUCCAAAAGCAAGCCUUGCACUGAGUUGGGAAGCUCUGGGAGAAUUGGGUGGGGAAGUAAAGGUCCUUGGAGCCUGGGACUGGUGUGCUCAAUUCCUUGAUCUGUUCUUGAACGCUCCUGAACAAGUGACCGCAAAAAUUGAGAACUAAU